CCUACGGGAGGCUGCAGUGAGGAAUAUUGGUCAAUGGACGAGAGUCUGAACCAGCCAAGUAGCGUGAAGGAUGACUGCCCUAUGGGUUGUAAACUUCUUGUAUAAAGGAAUAAAACGAGGCACGUGUGUCUUUGUGCAUGUAAUUUAUGAAUAAGGAGAGGCUAACUCCGGGCCAGCAGCCGCGGUAAUACGGAGGAUCAGAGCGUUAUCCGGAGUUAUUGGGUUUACAGGGAGCGUAGGCCGCAUGUCAAGCGUGCUGUGAAAUGUCCGGGCUCAACCCGGGCCUUGCAGCGCGAACUGGCGUGCUUGAGUCCGCGGAAAGCAGGCGGAAUUCGUCGUGUAGCGGUGAAAUGCUUAGAUAUGACGAAGAACCCCGAUUGCGAAGGCAGCUUGCUGCAGCGGAACUGACGCUGAUGCUCGAAAGCGCGGGUAUCGAACAGGAUUAGAUACCCUUGUAGUC
Molecule: ribosomal RNA, 460 nt
Filed under: uncultured bacterium
Lineage: Bacteria
Description: partial 16S ribosomal RNA
Rfam family: Bacterial small subunit ribosomal RNA
Source: RNAcentral